Cyprinus carpio carpio is the source of this 1057-nucleotide long non-coding RNA. Lineage: Eukaryota; Metazoa; Chordata; Actinopteri; Cypriniformes; Cyprinidae. The record is from Ensembl.
CCCUACGUCACCAAAAUACGACGUCCUCGUCUCGCUGCAGUCUGGAGCGAAGAGUAUUUGGAUUUCCCGGCGACUUUUUGAAUGAAGGAUACCAAGCGACUGUUCAUGACUCCUAUGAGGAUGGAGAUCUGGAGUGUCUCAGAGUGUCUCGCCCUUGAGCCGGAGCAGAGGUAGAGAAGCAGAAGAAAGAAAUUCAUACAGGAUUGGAAAUUUGGAAUGCAAUGAAGAACAACCAGCUAAACAACAAUCAGUCAGGUUUCAGAAGCGGAUGUUCAACAGAGACUGCCUUGCCUGUCCAUCACCAAAGCCCUGUGGCUUGUGAGAACUGCCUCCAUCAUCUCCUCACUCUACUGGAUCUGUCUGCAACACAGUUAGUCACCAGAUCAUCCGUUAUAUGAUAAGUCCCAGUGAUCCCAUUAUAUACUGAGAAAAGGAUGGGGCCCAGCACCAAACCCGGAGGUACCCCUGUCGAUAGGUGAUGUAGACACCACUCCCCUCAAAGAUGGAAAAAAAAAAAUUAUAAAGCAACAACAUUGUACAAUAAAGUGCAAGUUAAAAUUGUAGAUAAUCGUUAUAAUCCAACCACAAUUAGUACAUUCAUUUUGGUAAUACCAAGCUUGAUUGCUACCUAGUGUCGUUAAAAAUACAAGUUUACAAAACUACUAACAAAAGGAGCUACAUUCCAUUAACUUAUUCAUUGCUGGUUAACUACUGUAUGAAGACCAUAAUGAACCAUGGGAUUUUGAAUUACUGUUGCCAGUGGAAGCAGUGUGAGAUAGAGAAACAAAGAAAAGGUAAAGAUGAAUGGUUUGCAGAGUUUUCAGGCUUGCUAAUAUUGGACAGUAAAUGAGCAUACCCUCGCUUCCUAUCAGCCAACUUUAUAAGCUCGCCUCACUUGAGUUGAGUACUCUCUGAAAAGGUAAGGAACGACUAAUGAAGGUCAGCAUUCAUGGUUUCCUUGGAGUGAAUCGUUUGAUGUUUUCAAACUGGAAUGUCUAGUUAGGGCCCUGCAAAUGGAGAAUUUGUCAGGGGCAAAUAUAAGCAUAAAAAGGACUUU